AGUCCCCUGGGGUAGUUUGGCCAAUCCUCUGGGCCUUUGGAGCCCAGGACGCGAGUUCAAAUCUCGCGGGGACAA
This is a transfer RNA of 75 nucleotides. It matches the Rfam family "tRNA". Rfam says of the family: Transfer RNA (tRNA) molecules are approximately 80 nucleotides in length. Their secondary structure includes four short double-helical elements and three loops (D, anti-codon, and T loops). Further hydrogen bonds mediate the characteristic L-shaped molecular structure. tRNAs have two regions of fundamental functional importance: the anti-codon, which is responsible for specific mRNA codon recognition, and the 3' end, to which the tRNAs corresponding amino acid is attached (by aminoacyl-tRNA synthetases). tRNAs cope with the degeneracy of the genetic code in two manners: having more than one tRNA (with a specific anti-codon) for a particular amino acid; and 'wobble' base-pairing, i.e. permitting non-standard base-pairing at the 3rd anti-codon position. The record is from Rfam.